RNAcentral lists this ribosomal RNA (752 nucleotides) under uncultured archaeon. RNAcentral's name for it is "bacterial SSU rRNA". It matches the Rfam family "Archaeal small subunit ribosomal RNA", at positions 102 to 856 of the family's 1478-position model. The record is from RNAcentral.
GGAUAACCUACCCUCAGAUCUGGGAUAACUCCGGGAAACUGGAGAUAAUACCGGAUAAUCCGUGAACGCUGGAAUGCCUUACGGUUCAAAGCUUUAGCGUCUGAGGAUGGGUCUGCGGCCGAUUAGGUAGUUGCUGGGGUAACGUCCCAACAAGCCGAUAAUCGGUACGGGUUGUGAGAGCAAGAGCCCGGAGAUGGAUUCUGAGACACGAAUCCAGGUCCUACGGGGCGCAGCAGGCGCGAAAACUUUACACUGCGCGAAAGCGCGAUAAGGGGACCUCGAGUGCGUGCGCAAUGCGUACGCUUUUCAUAUGCCUAAAAAGCAUGUGGAAUAAGAGCCGGGCAAGACCAGUGCCAGCCGCCGCGGUAACACCGGCGGCUCAAGUGGUGGCCGCUAUUAUUGGGCUUAAAGGGUCCGUAGCCGGACCAGUUAGUCCCUUGGGAAAUCUUACGGCUUAACCGUAAGGCUGCCAAUGGAUACUGCUGGUCUUGGGACCGGGAGAGGCAAGAGGUACUUCAGGGGUAGGAGUGAAAUCCUGUAAUCCUUGAGGGACCGCCAGUGGCGAAGGCGUCUUGCUAGAACGGGCCCGACGGUGAGGGACGAAAGCUAGGGGCACGAACCGGAUUAGAUACCCGGGUAGUCCUAGCCGUAAACGAUGCGAGCUAGGUGUCACGUGGAUUGCGAAUCCAUGUGGUGCCGUAGGGAAACCGUGAAGCUCGCCGCCUGGGAAGUACGGCCGCAAGGCUGAAACU